GAUGAACGCUGGCGGCGUGCCUAAUACAUGCAAGUCGAGCGAAUGGACUAAGAGCUUGCUCUUAUGAAGUUAGCGGCGGACGGGUGAGUAACACGUGGGUAACCUGCCCAUAAGACUGGGAUAACUCCGGGAAACCGGGGCUAAUACCGGAUAACAUUUUGAACCGCAUGGUUCGAGAUUGAAAGGCGGCUUCGGCUGUCACUUAUGGAUGGACCCGCGUCGCAUUAGCUAGUUGGUGAGGUAACGGCUCACCAAGGCAACGAUGCGUAGCCGACCGGGGAGGGUGAUCGGCCACACUGGGACUGAGACACGGCCCAGACUCCUACGGGAGGCAGCAGUAGGGAAUCUUCCGCAAUGGACGAAAGUCUGACGGAGCAACGCCGCGUGAGUGAGGAAGGCUUUCGGGUCGUAAAACUCUGUUGUUAGGGAAGAACAAGUGCUAGUUGAAUAAGCUGACACCUUGACGGUACCUAACCAGAAAGCCACGGCUAACUACGUGCCAGCCGCCGCGGUAA
This 515-nucleotide ribosomal RNA is filed under the name uncultured bacterium. RNAcentral describes it as "partial 16S ribosomal RNA". It matches the Rfam family "Bacterial small subunit ribosomal RNA", at positions 28 to 523 of the family's 1533-position model. The record is from RNAcentral.